ACCCAGUCGAUGGGCAGCCGCUCGUCUACAGUAUCGGAAGACGCACCGACAGCGUCGAGGUUUGUUUUCACCUGAGACUUAACCAUCACCGCGACGAUUUCGUUCAGUAUAAUUCCUCGUUUUCACCUUCUGGACAACGUCUGUGAUAGUGACGACUUAAAGAUCCAACGCAAGACUUACGAAUCCAUACACAAUUUUAGUUGGUCAAACUCUCCUAAUGAGGCUGUAGUUGUCAUGUUAAUCCUCUCUGGAAUGAACCUUUCAUGUUGUAUAAAUUCUAACAGCGGAUCUGCAACUAGGGAGCAGUAUACGAGACAAUUGAUAUCGGGAGGAACAAGAAAAAGAGACUGAGCAAUCAUUCGCCUGGCGGCUUGGAAACUUCGAUUAAAGGAUGUAGCAAGACAGAGCUAACAGGGGAAGACUUCAACGUUUAGAGCUGAACACGAAACUUGUCGGUGCAUAGAAUGCCUUCGUAGGCCUGGACUCGGACAACUAAUUUCUUCUAGUUCAUCAUUCGGAAUGCUCGCCUUGAGGAGCAAAUGUAUUGGAAUUUUUCUUGUAUUUGGUUAACCUCUAUUCAUUCUUGCUAUUCCAACUUUAAACCUCGGCUCUUCAGUAAAAAGCACUACUGGCCAUUUCAAGACUCUUAAGAUUAGAGUGGUUUACUACAUCAGCUGCCAACGACAGACUACACCAUCCAUAGCAACUAUUUUGUCUUCUUCAACGACAGUAACGUGUCAGAGUUAUUGAGAGUGAAUGCUCUAGGUAAGCGAAAGUGAACUGGAAUACCAAUUCGUAAAUCCAGAUGUUACCAAAACUUUGAUGUUCAAGAAGAAUUCUGUAGAUGAGCUGGAAUGUGGUCCUUCGGAGUAGUUCUCCACAAGCUCUCAUGGACCUUCACUUAUAACAUCUUUAUUUGGGUAGCAGUUGGGAGAAAUUUUUGACACGUCAGGUUAUCCCUACUAUCAUACGGUGAUGGCUUAUAAUUGGGGUGCACUUUUACCCUCUUUUGUCUCCCUCUGGGAUAAAGAUGGGUAAUUAUUCCAUCAGCGCUCCGUAAUGGCUGGAGUUUAAAAGGAAAGAAAGCAGCUUUUAAGUGUUGCCUAUUCGGAAAAGACUUGCGCAUUGGGUCGAGUAAGAUUAUUGCAGUUGGAGAGGGAGUAGCUCAGAAUGAGCAGCCAGGACUGAGAACCAGUGAGAGUGGUGUCCUCGAAUGUUCCUCUGACAUGAAGAAAAAGGUGUAGAGAUCCAUAUUCAUGAUGAAGUGGUAGCAGCGCCACAGGUCGCUCAUAACUGUGAACAAGAGCCUCGCAAAAAGUUUAAGCGGUGCAGUAUUUUUCAGUGGACACUGUUGCCAGCCCCGUCGAACAUCUUUUAUGAGAUGCACAUCUGAUGCCAAAUUGUGGUUCUCGUGCAGACGCUGGCCAUCAAACUCAUCCUUUUGACUUAUCUUAAUGAAAAAAUAGCUGCGUUUCGGCCAAGUUCAAUGGUCAGGGCAGGAUGAUCACUAAUUAUUUGUACCGUGAGACAAGGUUUUUUUUCUUACUAAGUACAAGAGAAUGUUCUUUCAAGAAAUUUUUUUUGGAUGAAUUCCAUAAAUUUUUUUUGCUUUUCUCAGGAAGUGCCACUAUUUUCAGAAUUUGGUAAUAGUAUUUUUUUACUUAAUACCUGGAGUACC
Long non-coding RNA from Musa acuminata AAA Group (dessert banana), 1678 nucleotides. RefSeq lists it as uncharacterized. The record is from RefSeq and is a predicted model, not a curated record. NCBI's taxonomy places the organism in Eukaryota, Viridiplantae, Streptophyta, Magnoliopsida, Zingiberales, Musaceae. The transcript has 5 exons.